UUUGAUCCUGGCUCAGAUUGAACGCUGGCGGCAUGCCUUACACAUGCAAGUCGAACGGCAGCACGGGAGCAAUCCUGGUGGCGAGUGGCGAACGGGUGAGUAAUACAUCGGAACGUGCCCAAUCGUGGGGGAUAACGCAGCGAAAGCUGUGCUAAUACCGCAUAAGAUCUACGGAUGAAAGCAGGGGAUCGCAAGACCUUGCGCGAAUGGAGCGGCCGAUGGCAGAUUAGGUAGUUGGUGAGGUAAAGGCUCACCAAGCCUUCGAUCUGUAGCUGGUCUGAGAGGACGACCAGCCACACUGGGACUGAGACACGGCCCAGACUCCUACGGGAGGCAGCAGUGGGGAAUUUUGGACAAUGGGCGCAAGCCUGAUCCAGCCAUGCCGCGUGCAGGAUGAAGGCCUUCGGGUUGUAAACUGCUUUUGUACGGAACGAAACGGCUCUUUCUAAUAAAGAGGGCUAAUGACGGUACCGUAAGAAUAAGCACCGGCUAACUACGUGCCAGCAGCCGCGGUAAUACGUAGGGUGCAAGCGUUAAUCGGAAUUACUGGGCGUAAAGCGUGCGCAGGCGGUGAUGUAAGACAGUUGUGAAAUCCCCGGGCUCAACCUGGGAACUGCAUCUGUGACUGCAUCGCUGGAGUGCGGCAGAGGGGGAUGGAAUUCCGCGUGUAGCAGUGAAAUGCGUAGAUAUGCGGAGGAACACCGAUGGCGAAGGCAAUCCCCUGGGCCUGCACUGACGCUCAUGCACGAAAGCGUGGGGAGCAAACAGGAUUAGAUACCCUGGUAGUCCACGCCCUAAACGAUGUCAACUGGUUGUUGGGUCUUCACUGACUCAGUAACGAAGCUAACGCGUGAAGUUGACCGCCUGGGGAGUACGGCCGCAAGGUAGAAACUCAAAGGAAUUGACGGGGACCCGCACAAGCGGUGGAUGAUGUGGUUUAAUUCGAUGCAACGCGAAAAACCUUACCCACCUUUGACAUGUACGGAAUUUGCCAGAGAUGGCUUAGUGCUCGAAAGAGAACCGUAACACAGGUGCUGCAUGGCUGUCGUCAGCUCGUGUCGUGAGAUGUUGGGUUAAGUCCCGCAACGAGCGCAACCCUUGUCAUUAGUUGCUACAUUUAGUUGGGCACUCAAGUGAGACUGCCGGUGACAAACCGGAGGAAGGUGGGGAUGACGUCAAGUCCUCAUGGCCCUUAUAGGUGGGGCUACACACGUCAUACAAUGGCUGGUACAAAGGGUUGCCAACCCGCGAGGGGGAGCUAAUCCCAUAAAACCAGUCGUAGUCCGGAUCGCAGUCUGCAACUCGACUGCGUGAAGUCGGAAUCGCUAGUAAUCGUGGAUCAGAAUGUCACGGUGAAUACGUUCCCGGGUCUUGUACACACCGCCCGUCAUACCAUGGGAGCGGGUUCUGCCAGAAGUAGUUAGCCUAACCGCAAGGA
Molecule: ribosomal RNA, 1438 nt
Filed under: metagenome
Description: bacterial SSU rRNA
Rfam family: Bacterial small subunit ribosomal RNA
Source: RNAcentral